UUCAGCGUGAUCCAUUAAUUUGCAUAUCACCAUGGCACUACAGUUAUUUUUCCUGUGUGCUGUGCUACCAUGAAGCGAUAAGAGCCUGCACAAAACUGAAUCAAAAGGCCAGCAAACAGAGGACACAAUAUGAGUUUCACACCUCCAGUGGUGACUUAUGGGGAGUCAGCUCCUAUGGCCUUCUGGGAUACUAUAGGCGGAACAUGCCUCCAGCCACUGCCCGGCAACAAUUCCCCAAUGACAAAUACUACUGUAUAGGAUCAUCACUAUGGCCACACAUACCAACACCAGCUGAGCAUAUGAGAAGGGCAGGAAAGUUGUCAAGUCUGUGAUUGUGGAGAUAAAUCUCAUGUCUGAAGCAACUUCCCGAAGCAAGAAAAAAAAGAAAAAUAAAUAGAGUAUCUUCAGCGAUAGUGCUGGUGUGCUGGAAUCUAAAUGCUGGUGUCCCUCGGGGGCUUCGGUUGACUGGCUGCUGACCUUUGCUGCCCUCGGACCACUAGCCACAGUUCAAACAAGAGGCACAAGGGACACAUCAAGGACAACUAUGGGCUAAAGAGGAUUAUAGAUCGGGUCGCUUGACCGAAACUUUGUAAAAAAUACUGUUU
Molecule: long non-coding RNA, 605 nt
Organism: Rhinichthys klamathensis goyatoka
Lineage: Eukaryota; Metazoa; Chordata; Actinopteri; Cypriniformes; Leuciscidae
Exons: 3
Source: RefSeq, a predicted model, not a curated record